Molecule: ribosomal RNA, 696 nt
Filed under: Faecalibacterium prausnitzii
Lineage: Bacteria; Bacillati; Bacillota; Clostridia; Eubacteriales; Oscillospiraceae
Description: bacterial SSU rRNA
Rfam family: Bacterial small subunit ribosomal RNA
Source: RNAcentral
UGAGGAAGAUAAUGACGGUACUCAACAAGGAAGUGACGGCUAACUACGUGCCAGCAGCCGCGGUAAAACGUAGGUCACAAGCGUUGUCCGGAAUUACUGGGUGUAAAGGGAGCGCAGGCGGGAAGACAAGUUGGAAGUGAAAUCCAUGGGCUCAACCCAUGAACUGCUUUCAAAACUGUUUUUCUUGAGUAGUGCAGAGGUAGGCGGAAUUCCCGGUGUAGCGGUGGAAUGCGUAGAUAUCGGGAGGAACACCAGUGGCGAAGGCGGCCUACUGGGCACCAACUGACGCUGAGGCUCGAAAGUGUGGGUAGCAAACAGGAUUAGAUACCCUGGUAGUCCACACCGUAAACGAUGAUUACUAGGUGUUGGAGGAUUGACCCCUUCAGUGCCGCAGUUAACACAAUAAGUAAUCCACCUGGGGAGUACGACCGCAAGGUUGAAACUCAAAGGAAUUGACGGGGGCCCGCACAAGCAGUGGAGUAUGUGGUUUAAUUCGACGCAACGCGAAGAACCUUACCAAGUCUUGACAUCCCUUGACGAUGCUGGAAACAGUAUUUCUCUUCGGAGCAAGGAGACAGGUGGUGCAUGGUUGUCGUCAGCUCGUGUCGUGAGAUGUUGGGUUAAGUCCCGCAACGAGCGCAACCCUUAUGGUCAGUUACUACGCAAGAGGACUCUGGCCAGACUGCGUUGGAACAA